UACGGAGGGUGCGAGCGUUGUCCGGAAUCACUGGGCGUAAAGGGCGCGUAGGUGGCGCCGCAAGUCAACGGUGAAAGCUCGACGCUUAACGUCGAGUCGGCCGUCGAGACUGCGGGGCUCGAGCACUGUAGAGGCUCAUGGAAUUCCACGUGUAGCAGUGAAAUGCGUAGAGAUGUGGAGGAACACCGAUGGCGAAGGCAGCCCCCUGGGUCAAGAUUGACGCUCAUGCACGAAAGCGUGGGGAGCAAACAGG
RNAcentral lists this ribosomal RNA (253 nucleotides) under uncultured bacterium. Its description in RNAcentral is "partial 16S ribosomal RNA". It matches the Rfam family "Bacterial small subunit ribosomal RNA", at positions 524 to 776 of the family's 1533-position model. The record is from RNAcentral.